AUUGAACGCUGGCGGCAGGCUUAACACAUGCAAGUCGAACGAGUGGCGGACGGGUGAGUAAUGCUUGGGAAUCUAGAUUAUAGAGGGGGAUAACUACGGGAAACUGUAGCUAAUACCGCGUACCAUAGGAUGAGCCCAAGGGGGAGUAGGUAGUUGGUGAGUUAAAGGCUCACCAAGCCGACGAUCUCUAGCUGGUCUGAGAGGAUGACCAUCCACAUGGGGAGUGAGACACGGCCCAGACCCCUGCGGGAGGCAGCAUUGGGGAAUAUUGCGCAAUGGUGGCAGCCUGACUCAGCUAUGCCGCGUGAAUGAAGAAGGCCGUCGGGUUGUAAAGUUCUUGCGGUAGCGAGGCGUUAACUACAGAAGAAGCACCGGCUAACUCCGUGCCAGCAGCCGCGGUAAUAC
RNAcentral lists this ribosomal RNA (405 nucleotides) under uncultured bacterium. RNAcentral describes it as "partial 16S ribosomal RNA". It matches the Rfam family "Bacterial small subunit ribosomal RNA", at positions 30 to 526 of the family's 1533-position model. The record is from RNAcentral.